Long non-coding RNA from Centrocercus urophasianus (Greater sage-grouse), 834 nucleotides. RefSeq lists it as uncharacterized. NCBI's taxonomy places the organism in Eukaryota, Metazoa, Chordata, Aves, Galliformes, Phasianidae. The record is from RefSeq and is a predicted model, not a curated record. The transcript is spliced from 3 exons.
GAAGCAUCAGGGCAGCCCCUUUUAGCUCUUAGCUCAGUUCAUGACACAGCCUGCACUUUAGAGAGAUUCCUUUGCACUUUGAGAAGCAACUACUGAACACAGCAGCAGCAUUCACCUCUUUAAUUGAUGUUUCAAAGAAGAGAAAUGCAUCAUCAGUUUUCCUCUUGUGAAGCUCCAGAGAAAAGAAGAAUUUCCUAAAUCCUGAAGCAAAGAAGCAUAAACUAGUGAGUGCAAAGGCAGAAAAAAGCAGUAACAUUCCGGAGAUAAAAUGCAAAGUUAGGAGAAGGCUCCUGCGUGUGUUCUCUCUUCCUAAUACACAUAAGAAUGUCAUUGCAGUCUUUAAUUGCUGCUAGAGGUGGAGAAAAUAGAAAGGUUGAAGAAGUGCAUCAAGAAAGAAAUAAUGGAAACCUGACCAGUGACAGGAGCUGAUUACAGUUGGCAGACUGUAUAGGUUUCAGAUUCAUGCUGUGACUUUGGAAAUAAGUCCUGGCCGGGAUGCAUUUUUCUGGAAUAUCCCUAAGGAAUAUAUAUCAGUGAUUCAUCUAAGCAGCCACUGGAUAUCAUUACUGCUCUACCAAAAAUGAAGAUAAAAUAACAAUCUGGAAGAAAUAAAAGAAACAAGUGUCCCAGAUUUUCUCUCAAACUGUAGCAAAGAGAUCAUAAGGUGAAAUGAUAUUGUACCUCUACUUUGGAGGGGAUUAUUUUUUUUCUCCUAGAAACAACAAUCAAACACCUGAAAAGAGUGAGAAGUUCUGCUAUACUGAGGUUUCUCCUUUGCAAAGUCAAAAAAGAUCCCUACACAUUUUUUGAAAAUAAAAAGGCCUGUGAAAAUUC